RNAcentral lists this ribosomal RNA (372 nucleotides) under uncultured eukaryote. RNAcentral describes it as "partial 18S ribosomal RNA". It matches the Rfam family "Eukaryotic small subunit ribosomal RNA", at positions 592 to 975 of the family's 1831-position model. The record is from RNAcentral.
CAAUAGCGUAUAUUAAAGUUGUUGCAGUUAAAAAGCUCGUAGUUGAAUUUUUGCUUGCCGCCGAUGUCGGAACUUCCGUACGUUCGGCGGCGUGCAUCCUUGGGUGGAACCUGUGUGGCAUUAGGUUGUCGUGCAGGGGAUGCUCAUCGUUUACUGUGAAAAAAUUAGAGUGUUCAAAGCAGGCUUACGCCGUUGAAUAUAUUAGCAUGGAAUAAUAAGAUAGGACCUUGGUACUAUUUUGUUGGUUUGCGCACCGAGGUAAUGAUUAACAGGGACAGUUGGGGGUAUUCGUAUUCCAUUGUCAGAGGUGAAAUUCUUGGAUUUAUGAAAGACGAACUUCUGCGAANGNAUUUGUNAAGGAUGUUUNCAUUA